CUACGGGACGCUCCAGUGGGGAAUAUUGCACAAUGGGCGCAAGCCUGAUGCAGCCAUGCCGCGUGUAUGAAGAAGGCCUUCGGGUUGUAAAGUACUUUCAGCGGGGAGGAAGGGAGUAAAGUUAAUACCUUUGCUCAUUGACGUUACCCGCAGAAGAAGCACCGGCGAACUCCGUGCCAGCAGCCGCGGUAAUACGGAGGGUGCAAGCGUUAAUCGGAAUUACUGGGCGUAACGCGCACGCAGGCGGUUUGUUAAGUCAGAUGUGAAAUCCCCGGGCUCAACCUGGGAACUGCAUCUGAUACUGGCAAGCUUGAGUCUCGUAGAGGGGGGUAGAAGUCCAGGUGUAGCGGUGAAAUGCGUAGAGAUCUGGAGGAAUACCGGUGGCGAAGGCGGCCCCCUGGACGAAGACUGACGCUCAGGUGCGAAAGCGUGGGGAGCAAACAGGAUUAGAUACCCCAGUAGUC
This 464-nucleotide ribosomal RNA is filed under the name uncultured bacterium. Its description in RNAcentral is "partial 16S ribosomal RNA". It matches the Rfam family "Bacterial small subunit ribosomal RNA", at positions 339 to 795 of the family's 1533-position model. The record is from RNAcentral.